UGGACAACACGGAGGAAGGUGGGGAUGACGUCAAAUCAUCAUGCCCCUUAUGAUCUGGGCUACACACGUGCUACAAUGGCCGGUACAACGGGCAGCGAAGGAGCGAUCCGGAGCGAAUCCUAAAAAGCCGGUCCAGUUCGGAUUGCAGGCUGAAACUCGCCUACAUGAAGUUGGAGUUGCUAGUAAUCGCGAAUCAGAAUGUCGCGGUGAAUGCGUUCCCGGGUCUU
RNAcentral lists this ribosomal RNA (227 nucleotides) under uncultured Fusibacter sp. RNAcentral's name for it is "partial 16S ribosomal RNA". It matches the Rfam family "Bacterial small subunit ribosomal RNA", at positions 1155 to 1382 of the family's 1533-position model. The record is from RNAcentral. Lineage: Bacteria; Bacillati; Bacillota; Clostridia; Eubacteriales; Fusibacteraceae.